This 1337-nucleotide ribosomal RNA is filed under the name uncultured bacterium. RNAcentral describes it as "bacterial SSU rRNA". It matches the Rfam family "Bacterial small subunit ribosomal RNA", at positions 28 to 1381 of the family's 1533-position model. The record is from RNAcentral.
GACGAACGCUGGCGGCGUGCUUAACACAUGCAAGUCGAACGGUAAGGCCCUUCGGGGUACACGAGUGGCGAACGGGUGAGUAACACGUGGGUGAUCUGCCCUGCACUUCGGGAUAAGCCCGGGAAACUGGGUCUAAUACCGGAUAGUACUGCGCGGUGCAUGCCGUGUGGUGGAAAGAUUUAUCGGUGCAGGAUGGGCCCGCGGCCUAUCAGCUUGUUGGUGGGGUAAUGGCCUACCAAGGCGACCACGGGUAGCCGGCCUGAGAGGGCGACCGGCCACACUGCGACUGAGACACGGCCCAGACUCCUACCGGAGGCAGCAGUGGGGAAUAUUGCACAAUGGGCGCAAGCCUGACCCACCGACCCCGCGUGAGGGAUGACGGCCUUCGGGUUGUCAACCUCUUUCAUCAGGCACGAACCGCACGUGACGGUACCUGCAGAAGAAGCACCGGCCAACUACGUGCCAGCAGCCGCGGUAAUACGUAGGGUGCAAGCGUGUCCCGGAAUUACUGGGCGUAAAGAGCUCGUAGGCGGUUUGUCGCGUCGUCUGUGAAAACCAGCAGCUCAACUGUUGGCUGCCAGGCGAUACGGGCAGACUUGAGUAUUUCAGGGGAGACUGGAAUUCCUGGUGUAGCGGUGAAAUGCGCAGAUAUCAGGAGGAACACCGGUGGCGAAGGCGGGUCUCUGGGAAAUAACUGACGCUGAGGAGCGAAAGCGUGGGUAGCGAACAGGAUUAGAUACCCUGGUAGUCCACGCCGUAAACGGUGGGCGCUAGGUGUGGGUUUCCUUCCACGGGAUCCGUGCCGUAGCUAACGCAUUAAGCGCCCCGCCUGGGGAGUACGGCCGCAAGGCUAAAACUCAAAGGAAUUGACGGGGGCCCGCACAAGCGGCGGAGCAUGUGGAUUAAUUCGAUGCAACGCGAAGAACCUUACCUGGGUUUGACAUACACCGGAAAGCCGUAGAGAUACGGCCCCCCUUGUGGUCGGUGUACAGGUGGUGCAUGGCUGUCGUCAGCUCGUGUCGUGAGAUGUUGGGUUAAGUCCCGCAACGAGCGCAACCCUUGUCCUGUGUUGCCAGCGGAUAAUGCCGGGGACUCGCAGGAGACUGCCGGGGUCAACUCGGAGGAAGGUGGGGACGACGUCAAGUCAUCAUGCCCCUUAUGUCCAGGGCUUCACACAUGCUACAAUGGCCGGUACAGAGGGCUGCGAUACCGUGAGGUGGAGCGAAUCCCUUAAAGCCGGUCUCAGUUCGGAUCGGGGUCUGCAACUCGACCCCGUGAAGUCGGAGUCGCUAGUAAUCGCAGAUCAGCAACGCUGCGGUGAAUACGUUCCCGGGCCU